AUUUUUGCUGCCCGGACGCGGAGCGAGAGGCUGAGAGAGUCGGCGAUACUAUCCGCUUCCAUCCGUCGCGCAGACCCUGCCGGAGCCGCUGCCGCUAUGGAUGAUCGAGAGGAUCUGGUGUACCAGGCGAAGCUGGCCGAGCAGGCUGAGCGAUACGACGGUGAGUUGGGGGGGCAACGGGGGGCUGGAAUUCUCGGACCCUCUGCCGCCGCCCACAGAGGCCGGGAACAGGAGACAAAAUGGCGGCAUCGUCUGCGAGCUUGGCCCGGGGGCUUGGGUUCGGGAAGCAGGAAAUGGCCUGGGAGCUCCCGGGGCGAUGGGAGGCUCUAUGCCCUGGAAUGUGACCCCUUCGCCGUCCUUAGCUGCAAACAACUCGCGGGCCGGGAGGCCGGGGCGACAGGGUGGAGGAGUUGGUUGUAAAAUGGCGGCUGGGGGAGGGCGAGUCCCGGGGCGGGGGAGGGGGAGGAGAUGGCGGGUGCUGUCUCCGAACGAGCCACCCUCAUGGGAGCUUCUGGGACGGCCUUGGGAUGUGGAGAACAAUUGGGUGGGGUGACGGGGGAAGCAGCACCCGCCACAUGGGAGAGAGCGAAGACCGGGAGCUGUAGCGCGGGCGCCUUUCAGGGAAAUAUGGCGGGUGGGGGCGGUGGCUUUUCCCCGGAGGCCCCGUGUGGGGCGGCGGCCGUGGAGUCUCACAAAGGAGAACCUUUGAGAGCGAUGGGCUUCCUCAGGCCUGAGGUGGGGGACAGUCGUGGAUGAUGGUGGGGGGAGAGGGGUGAGUGGGAAUCACUGCAGUUCGUCUUCGGGCGGUGGCAGGCUCCCAUGCUGCGAUCGGGUUUCUUUCCCGUAGGCCGGCACCUCGUAGUGAGGGGUUUUGGGGCUUCUCCUCGUCGUCGUCUUCUGGGGAGGCCCAGAAAAUCCUCACUCCCUCCCUUUCCUCAGACUUAAAACAGGAGACCUCGAAGUUCCUGUAACCUUUCUCUGGCUCCAUCACCCGUGGGUUCUGAUGGAUAGAACCAGGAGGCCACGACUCUGAGAGUUCGAGCCUUUGUAGAGCCCGAGCCUCCGUCCACCCGUUUGUAAAAACGAUGACUUUACAGUUUGUGCGCACCGUGAUGACAAAUGGAAAGACCUGUUGAAAUAAAGUUAUUUCCAAUAGUAUUCAGUAACUGUAUUUUGGUUGACUCUGCAGGCUCGGAAUGCUGGUCUGUACUUCCCGGGGGAUCUUAACCUAGUCCAGGCGCUCGGCUGAGGCUGGGGUUUUUGAGUUAAGAAGGUUGAAGAUCCUGUUGCUUUCUUUUUUUCCAUUUUAAAUAAAUGGGUUUAUGUAGAAAUUUUAGUAGGUCCUCUUUGUUCGUUGUUCUUUUGCCCCUAAU
RNAcentral lists this small RNA (1373 nucleotides) under Pan troglodytes (chimpanzee). Its description in RNAcentral is "retained intron". Lineage: Eukaryota; Metazoa; Chordata; Mammalia; Primates; Hominidae. The record is from RNAcentral.